This 450-nucleotide ribosomal RNA is filed under the name uncultured Glomeromycotina. Its description in RNAcentral is "SSU rRNA". It matches the Rfam family "Eukaryotic small subunit ribosomal RNA", at positions 569 to 1023 of the family's 1831-position model. The record is from RNAcentral. Lineage: Eukaryota; Fungi; Glomeromycota.
AGCAGCCGCGGUAAUUCCAGCUCCAAUAGCGUAUAUUAAAGUUGUUGCAGUUAAAAAGCUCGUAGUUGAAUUUCGGGAUCAGUACGCUGGUCGUGCCUCCGGUAUGUACUGGUGUCACUGGUUCCUCCCUUCUGAAGAACCAUCAUGCUAUUAAUUUAGUGUGGUGGGAAAUCAGGACUGUUACUUUGAAAAAAUUAGAGUGUUUAAAGCAGGCUCACGCUUGAAUGCAUUAGCAUGGAAUAAUGAAAUAGGACGUUGAUCCUAUUUUGUUGGUUUCUAGGAUUGACGUAAUGAUUAAUAGGGAUAGUUGGGGGCAUUAGUAUUCAAUUGUCAGAGGUGAAAUUCUUGGAUUUAUUGAAGACUAAACUACUGCGAAAGCAUUUGCCAAGGAUGUUUUCAUUAAUCAAGAACGAAAGUUAGGGGAUCGAAGACGAUCAGAUACCGUCGUAG